GGUUCUACAAUUCUCUUCCCUAAUUUAUUUUAGAUACACUUUAAACACACAGCAGUAGCAGUAGAUGCAGAAAAGUCUCGGGAUUGAAUCCAAGGGUAUGGAGUUGCCUUUGUGUUUUAUCCCAAUGCAGGAUUUGACAGCACUGAUUCGGAUUUAGUCGGGCUCCAAUGCGAGCAUUGGACAUCAGGUGGGAAACAAGAAAAAAAAGAUGCAUAAAUGAAAGAGAUUCCUACCUUUGGAUAUGUAAUUAAGCUAAUCUUUUCCAUUGCUAAUGGAGCAGAAGUA
Molecule: long non-coding RNA, 285 nt
Filed under: Capsicum annuum
Lineage: Eukaryota; Viridiplantae; Streptophyta; Magnoliopsida; Solanales; Solanaceae
Description: long non-coding RNA (CANN_LNC019542)
Source: RNAcentral